This 221-nucleotide unclassified non-coding RNA is filed under the name plant metagenome. RNAcentral describes it as "partial contains small subunit ribosomal RNA, internal transcribed spacer 1, and 5.8S ribosomal RNA". The record is from RNAcentral.
UCUCCGUAGGUGAACCUGCGGAGGGAUCAUUACAGAGUUCGUGCCCUCGCGGGUAGAUCUCCCACCCUGUGUUAUUGCUACCUUUGUUGCUUUGGCGGGCCGCCCUUGGCUACCGGCCCCGGCUGGUACGCGCCCGCCAGAGGACCCCAAACCCUGAACGUCAGUGUCGUCUGAGUACUAUACAAUAGUUAAAACUUUCAACAACGGAUCUCUUGGUUCUG